Brassica napus (rape) is the source of this 1724-nucleotide long non-coding RNA. RefSeq lists it as uncharacterized. The transcript is spliced from 3 exons. NCBI's taxonomy places the organism in Eukaryota, Viridiplantae, Streptophyta, Magnoliopsida, Brassicales, Brassicaceae. The record is from RefSeq and is a predicted model, not a curated record.
CCUACAAAAAAACUUAUUUAACACAAUGAAUAGUGCAUGAGGUUUGGUCAAAGGCUCAAAGCCAUUGUUCCAAGUCCCAACACUUAUCUUAAGGAAAAUUGAAUUUCCCUCUCAGAUUUACUAAUUUCUUUCAAUUUCUAAUUAUUUUCAUAUUCGAUCGUUAGGUUUCUCGUUAAUGAAGAAUAUGAAACAAAUAAAACAAAUGCAACGGAAGGAAGGCACGUGGUUUGAUGCUAUUAGGGUCUCAGAUGUCUGAUUAUUUGUGGGGAAUCAUUGGUCAUAUGUGCAUGUGCACUCUUCUUAGCAUCUAGGUCCACCAACUCCAAUAUUUUAUUCAAAUUAUAAGAUUUCAUUUUGUAUUUUUCUGUGUUUAAAUUUUAGUAUGUAAUUUGAAUUAUAAUCUCAUUUGUAACCAACGACAUAUCAUUUUCAGGGAUAAUUAUAUAGACAUUUACAUUUAGACUCAAGUAUGCAUACACAGCAACAGCAGCACAUGUGUAUAUAAGCAUAUAACAUUGUAAACGAAAGAUGCGAUUUUGAUUUUUAGGUAUACAAAAUGACGAUGGAGUAAUAAGUGAGAAAUACAUUUAUAUUGGAGAAGCAUGAUUGGUAAACUCAUGUUCUUUGAUUAGAAAUUAUAACUGGUAGGUUAUGUGAUAUUGCUUGUUUUAAUAAGGGAAAUUUGGACGCAUAUACAUAGUACGAUUUAUAUUGAGACACUAACCAAAGGUAAAAGCAUGAUAUGAUAUGUUACAUAUUAUAGCAAAUGUGGACAAAAUACCCUUACAUGCGCGUAGAAGGGUGAGAACAAUAUUUUUUUAUAUUCAGGAAAAACGAGAGGUCGCAAUCAUUUUGUUAAGAAUAGGUUUUCUCAUGAGAGAGGCAAAAUAUUAUUUAGGGAUUUUCGGAAGUAUACCUCAAUUCUGACGGCUACAAAAACAGGAAACGGUGGUUGAAAGGAGAAGCGGAGGCGCCGACAUAUGGAUUUCAAGUGUUAGGGUUUCCACGGAGAAGACGGCGUGGAGACAAAAGCGGCGAGGAAAGAUGAUAUUGCAGAGUAAGCUGUAGAAUCAGUUCGACGGGGCGUACCGGACGCCGGCGCAAGAGGGAAUUUGCGAAGAAGAAAGGAUGGAAGAAUUUGGUUUGCCGGAACAGUUGUAUCAGACAGGGUACAACCAAGCAGACGUAAAAGAAUUAAUAAUUACUUCAGUUUAAGGUAGAUAGACGUUAUCAAAGAAGCACUAUCUGAUGCACAGCAGGAGAUGUUAGCAGAAUCGCAAUUCCGGCUGAUAAUGCUAAUGGGGGGGGGGAUAUACCUUUUCAGUUAUGUUUGCACACCAGUUGUUUUUCCGUCAGUUGGUUACCCGGAAGAAGUAUGAACUAUGGUGUCGGUUUGCGGGAAAGCCAAUAAGGUAUGCAAUAGGGGACUUCGCUGUAGUGACUGGGCUUAACUGCGGAACUUGACGGAUGAUUCAUUAGCGGUUGCGCCGAAGUCAUAUGCAGUUGCUGCAUUCAUAGCUUUUAACCCAGACAAACUAGCGUAAUUCUAAAAUUAUUGGGUCUAUGUAUUAGUUACUUUCGUCUGUUGUUUUACUUAUAUAAUUUGCGGCACCAAAAUUGUUACUUUGGGCUCCCUAAGUUUCGGGGUUCCCACGCAGCGUCUAUGUUUUUCAACUGAAUCAUCUUACCUUCUUUCAUUUGGAUCUUUCAUUUUUAUGGUCUAA